RNAcentral lists this transfer RNA (94 nucleotides) under Cupriavidus laharis. RNAcentral describes it as "tRNA-Cys". Lineage: Bacteria; Pseudomonadati; Pseudomonadota; Betaproteobacteria; Burkholderiales; Burkholderiaceae. The record is from RNAcentral.
UGGGCGGCAGCAGGCGUUCGUUGCUGGCCGGCCGCAGUUCCGCCAGCGGGUGCCAUUCGAACUCGCCCCCGUGGUGCUGCUCCAGGUUGCCCAC